GGACUACAGGGGUUUCUAAUCCUGUUUGCUCCCCUAGCUUUCGUUCCUCAGUGUCAGUUGCGAUCCAGCCAGCCGCCUUCGCCACGGGUGUUCCUGCAGAUAUCUACGCAUUUCACCGCUACACCUGCAAUUCCACUGGCCUCUCUCGCACUCGAGCGCGGCAGUUUUGAAAGCAGCCUCCGAGUUAAGCCCGGAGAUUUCACUCCCAACUUGCCGCACCACCUACGAACCCUUUACGCCCAGUAAUUCCGAGCAACGCUGGCCCCCUACGUAUUACCGCGGCGGCUGGCAC
Molecule: ribosomal RNA, 292 nt
Filed under: uncultured Acidobacteriota bacterium
Lineage: Bacteria; Pseudomonadati; Acidobacteriota
Description: uncultured Acidobacteria bacterium partial 16S ribosomal RNA
Source: RNAcentral